GGGGGGGGGGGGGGGGGGGGGGGGGGGGGGGGGGUGGGGCGGGGCGGGGGGGGCCGGGCAGGGGGGGACGGGUGGGGAACGCGUAGGGGGCUGGCCUCUGGGGGGGGAUAACCGCUGGGAACGGCUGCUCCGACCGCAUGUGGCUCCGGUUCGAGAGCCGGUCUCCAAGUCACCCAUCGCGAGGUGUGUGUCGCGGGGGGGUGAGCCUGCGUCCUGUUAGCUGGUUGGCUGGGUAGUGGCCGACCAAGGCGCCGAUCGGUAGCUGGUCUGAGAGGGUGAUCAGCCAAACUGGGACUGAGACACGGCCCAGACUCCUACGGGAGGCAGCAGUGGGGAAUAUUGGAAAAUGGGCGCAAGCCUGAUCCAGCAAUGCCGCGUGGGUGAAGAAGGUCUUCGGAUUGUAAAGCCCUUUCGGCGGGGACGAUGGUGACGGUACCCGCAGAAGAAGCCCCGGCUAACUUCGUG
Molecule: ribosomal RNA, 465 nt
Filed under: uncultured bacterium
Lineage: Bacteria
Description: partial 16S ribosomal RNA
Rfam family: Bacterial small subunit ribosomal RNA
Source: RNAcentral